Molecule: ribosomal RNA, 484 nt
Filed under: uncultured bacterium
Lineage: Bacteria
Description: partial 16S ribosomal RNA
Rfam family: Bacterial small subunit ribosomal RNA
Source: RNAcentral
AUUGAACGCUGGCGGCAUGCUUUACACAUGCAAGUCGAACGGCAGCGCGGGCUUCGGCCUGGCGGCGAGUGGCGAACGGGUGAGUAAUGCAUCGGAACGUGCCCAGUAGUGGGGGAUAGCCCGGCGAAAGCCGGCUUAAUACCGCAUACGACCUGAGGGUGAAAGCGGGGGACCGAAAGGCCUCGCGCUAUUGGAGCGGCCGAUGUCGGAUUAGCUAGUUGGUGGGGUAAAGGCUUACCAAGGCGACGAUCCGUAGCUGGUCUGAGAGGACGACCAGCCACACUGGAACUGAGACACGGCCCAGACUCCUACGGGAGGCAGCAGUGGGGAAUUUUGGACAAUGGGGGCAACCCUGAUCCAGCCAUGCCGCGUGCGGGAAGAAGGCCUUCGGGUUGUAAACCGCUUUUGUUCGGGAAGAAAUCCUCUGGGCUAAUACCCCGGGGGGAUGACGGUACCGGAAGAAUAAGCACCGGCUAACUACGUG